Heterocephalus glaber (naked mole-rat) is the source of this 396-nucleotide long non-coding RNA. RefSeq lists it as uncharacterized. NCBI's taxonomy places the organism in Eukaryota, Metazoa, Chordata, Mammalia, Rodentia, Bathyergidae. The record is from RefSeq and is a predicted model, not a curated record.
CCAAGGAGUUGAUUCCUAAAGUGGAAGAGCAGUUCCGUAAAUUUGCCAAGUCUCUGGACAUCCCUGAUGAGUACAUCAUCUUCACUGAUCCCUUGGUGAAGUGCAUUGAUUACUGACUGGCAGGGAGGCAGUGAGGCAAUGCCUGCUGUCUACACACUAUGUUCUUCCUGUUGCUUCAUCUUGAGACUUCAUUAGCAGCUACAAGGCCAGUAAAAGAGCCAGAAGACCCUUCUUUUGUUUUGGACCAGGGAUUGAACUCAGGUCCUUGUGCUUGCAAGGCAAGUGGUGGAACCACUGAGCUAAAUCCCUGGCCCAAGAAGACCCUUCUUAAAGUACAAUGCUCCCAGCCAUGUCUUGAAAUGCUACUUCACUGGUGGACCCUUUUUUGUUCAAAUA